AUUAGGGAGUGCAAUUUCUGAUAGAUGUAGAAUGAAACCGAUUACACCAAAAAUUGCAAUUGAAUAAAAUUUAGAAAAAAAUAAAAUGGAAUACAAUGUUAUAAGUGUGAGUAGAACAGAAUAGAAUUAUAAGGAUUGAAAUAGGAUGAAAUAGAAUAGAAUGAAAUACAGUGGGAUAGAAUGAUAUAGAAUAGAUUGAAAUACAGUGGGAUAGAAUGAUAUAGAAUAGAUUGAAAUAGAAUAGAAUAAAAUGGAAUGUUGUAGAAUGAAAUGGAAAACAAUGAAAUAGAAUAGAAUUGAAUGAAAUAGAAUGGAAUAGAAUGAAAUAGAAAACAAUGAAAUAGAAUAGAAUGAACUAGAGUGGGAUAGAAUGAUAUAGAAUAGAUUGGAAUAGAAUGGAAUAAAAUGACAUGAUAUAUGAAUGGAAUGAAGUAUAAUUUAAUGAGAUGGAAUAAGUAGAAUAGAAUGGAAUAGAAUAGUG
Paramuricea clavata is the source of this 481-nucleotide non-coding RNA. NCBI's taxonomy places the organism in Eukaryota, Metazoa, Cnidaria, Anthozoa, Malacalcyonacea, Plexauridae. The record is from the annotation of a GenBank genome assembly.